UGGAGAAGGGUGAAGUUUUGCCCACAGAGGCCAGAUUUGACUCUAACUGCAUCACCCCUGGAACGGAUUUCAUGGCCAGGCUACAGGAACAGCUUAAAUAUUUUGUUCACAAUAAACUGUCCACAGACAAAGCAUGGCAGGGAGUGAAUGUGUAUUUGUCUGGUCAUGAGACCCCUGGUGAAGGAGAGCACAAGAUCAUGGAGUUUAUCCGUUCUGAGACCACCAAACUGGGUCAUACCCCAAACACAAGACACUGCCUUUAUGGUCUGGAUGC
Molecule: long non-coding RNA, 274 nt
Organism: Sinocyclocheilus anshuiensis
Lineage: Eukaryota; Metazoa; Chordata; Actinopteri; Cypriniformes; Cyprinidae
Exons: 3
Source: RefSeq, a predicted model, not a curated record